Oreochromis aureus is the source of this 1258-nucleotide long non-coding RNA. RefSeq lists it as uncharacterized. NCBI's taxonomy places the organism in Eukaryota, Metazoa, Chordata, Actinopteri, Cichliformes, Cichlidae. The transcript has 2 exons. The record is from RefSeq and is a predicted model, not a curated record.
GGUGAUGAUCCAGAGCAGCUGGUCUCAGGAAAUGAAGAAAACCCUGAUCACCUUUUCCACAGAAACAAGAAUAAAUUACGACUAGUCUCAAUGGCUGAGAUGGAGGAGGAACACAGCGACACGUUAACCCGACUGCUGCAGUUCCUGUAUGAACUGAGCAACUCUAAAAAUCCAAGGAAAAAGCUGAGUGUAUUUUAUUUAAAGCUCAGAUGGACCUUGCUGCAUUCAGGACUUUGUCACACUGGUAUAUGAAGAGUGGUAACAAGAGAAAUUGUGCACACACAACGUGUCACUUUAUGCUUGCUCUUCUCCAGUCUCUGGUGUCACUUUGUAGUAAUUAGUCUUACUAUUGUCUUAUUUGUGGUGAUUUAGGGUGUGUGCGCACAAGCAGAGGUUUUUGUUUGUAACCGUAACCUCGUUUUCAGAGCCUUGUCUAACAUUUAAUGGUCGUGAAAUAUGUCAGACUUUUUCCUCUACUUAAACAGCUAAGAGCAUUUAAACACAGUGGAGAAAAAGGUGUGCAUUAAGGAUUUUGAACUAUGAUGUUUAAGUGUUGUCACUGCUGAGGAUCCUUAUUCACUACGCUGCUGUUUACAGUUUAACUUUUCAUCAGAACAAGCACUUCUAAUUGUACUUUGCUCCUCACUGACAAAACAAGUCCAGUAAAUGCACUUUUAUCUUCAAGUUUGGGACAGUAAUCUGUCUUAAUUUAUUUUGUGCUUUAGUUAUCAUAUGGGGAAAAGUUUUGUGGUUAUCUAUCCGUUCUGUUUGCAUAAACCCAAAGUUCAGGAACAUCUUCUUUAGAUCUGUUCAGUUUUAUUCAUGUGGCACGACUUAAACAGUCAAGUAUGUUAUAUUGUAAAGUAAAGACCCCAAAGAGUUAAUCUCGGACAAAUGUUCACACAAAUGUGAAUUACAUUCACUUCAUUAAUGAAGUAAAUGCAAUUCAGUAAUCAAAUGUGUUUGGCUAUAACUGACUACAUGUGUAUACUGUACCAUAAGUGGACAGACAUGGAUGUAAACCACACCUUAACCAUUUGGCUGAAGCAAAACUACCACAAGGCAGUGAUUCUAACUAAAAGGUACUCUGGAUAUUAUUAAAUGUGAACAUAUCGUUAAAUAUGACUUAACUAUAUUUUUUGUUUGUCAGGUGUCCUGUUUGAAGAAAACACUUGGUAGCCACUUGAAUGAAUGUAAACAAACACAUUUACAUGAGGACAACCUGAUUUCAAGGAAAUAAAAAUGCUUAAAUUUGAAA